GAGUAGGGCGGGACACGUGAAAUCCUGUCUGAAUAUGGGGGGACCAUCCUCCAAGGCUAAAUACUCGUAAUCGACCGAUAGUGAACAAGUACCGUGAGGGAAAGGUGAAAAGAAUCCCGAAAGGGUUGUGAAAUAGAGCAUGAAAUCAUUAAUUUACAAACAGUAGAAAAAUAAUUUAUAGUUUAACUGCGUUCCUGUUGAAGAAUGAGCCGGCGACUUAU
This 221-nucleotide ribosomal RNA is filed under the name Pteridomonas danica. Its description in RNAcentral is "partial Bacterial large subunit ribosomal RNA". It matches the Rfam family "Bacterial large subunit ribosomal RNA", at positions 410 to 631 of the family's 2925-position model. Lineage: Eukaryota; Dictyochophyceae; Pedinellales. The record is from RNAcentral.